AAAACGGCCCUUUUCAGGGCCACAAAUACAUCAACAUAAAGAGUU
Non-coding RNA from Lutzomyia longipalpis, 45 nucleotides. The record is from Rfam. NCBI's taxonomy places the organism in Eukaryota, Metazoa, Arthropoda, Insecta, Diptera, Psychodidae.